RNAcentral lists this ribosomal RNA (467 nucleotides) under uncultured bacterium. RNAcentral describes it as "partial 16S ribosomal RNA". It matches the Rfam family "Bacterial small subunit ribosomal RNA", at positions 28 to 507 of the family's 1533-position model. The record is from RNAcentral.
GACGAACGCUGGCGGCGUGCUUAACACAUGCAAGUCGAACGGAAAGGCCCUGCUUUUGUGGGGUGCUCGAGUGGCGAACGGGUGAGUAACACGUGAGUAACCUGCCCUUGACUUUGGGAUAACUUCAGGAAACUGGGGCUAAUACCGGAUAGGAGCUCCUGCUGCAUGGUGGGGGUUGGAAAGUUUCGGCGGUUGGGGAUGACCUGCGGCUUAUCAGCUUGUUGGUGGGGUAGUUGCUUACCAAGGCUUUGACGGGUAGCCGGCCUGAGAGGGUGACCGGCCACAUUGGGACUGAGAUACGGCCCAGACUCCUACGGGAGGCAGCAGUGGGGAAUAUUGCACAAUGGGCGGAAGCCUGAUGCAGCAACGCCGCGUGCGGGAUGACGGCCUUCGGGUUGUAAACCGCUUUCGCCUGUGACGAAGCGUGAGUGACGGUAAUGGGUAAAGAAGCACCGGCUAACUACGUG